RNAcentral lists this long non-coding RNA (239 nucleotides) under Ricinus communis (castor bean). RNAcentral's name for it is "long non-coding RNA (RCOM_LNC001543)". The record is from RNAcentral. Lineage: Eukaryota; Viridiplantae; Streptophyta; Magnoliopsida; Malpighiales; Euphorbiaceae.
UAAUUGGACGUCAAAUCUGUCGAAACAAGCUAAGUAUGCACAUGAGGAAGCUGAACAUGGCUGUGUUCGUUUCAACACUGGCUGUGUUCCUAACACUGGCACCAACACGGGUCGUGUUGGGUGCGUCAAACAUCAAAGAAAAAGAAGUUCUUAGGGAGCACAGCCACAAAGAGUAACACGGGCAUAAACACCAGCCAGUGUUCGGAACACGGGAAUCAACACGGCCGUGUUGGCGGCGA